AGAGACGAGUCUGCCAAGUCCAAGGAAACUACUCCUUUCAGUCCCACAAUUUCACAAUUCAAUAUCGUGUUUUGAGGUUAUCUCCGCAAGUUAAGGUCGGAGCGAGAAAUUCAAGUUAAAGAAAUUAAACGAACGAGUGAGGGUGGUGUCCCUACUCGGAUUAGUGUACACAGGUGACCAUUGGAAGGUGGCCACCUUCCACGGCACAAAGAUGAUAUAGUGGAGGCCGUUGGGAGGUGGCCACCUCCCCGGCUGGAGAAAGAUGUAGGUGACCGUGGGAGAGCACCAUCUCCACGGCACUUGGUGUUCAGAUAUGGCAAAAGUA
This is a non-coding RNA of Salvia hispanica, 325 nucleotides long. NCBI's taxonomy places the organism in Eukaryota, Viridiplantae, Streptophyta, Magnoliopsida, Lamiales, Lamiaceae. The record is from RefSeq and is a predicted model, not a curated record.